GGACGAACGCUGGCGGCGUGCUUAACACAUGCAAGUCGAACGGAGAAUUUAUUUCGGUAAAUUCUUAGUGGCGAACGGGUGAGUAACGCGUGGGCAACCUGCCCUUCAGAUGGGGACAACAUCCCGAAAGGGGUGCUAAUACCGAAUACGAUCACGCUGCCGCAUGGCGGUGUGAUGAAAGAUGGCCUCUAUUUAUAAGCUAUCGCUGAAGGAUGGGCCUGCGUCUGAUUAGCUAGUUGGUGGGGUAACGGCCUACCAAGGCGAUGAUCAGUAGCCGGUCUGAGAGGAUGAACGGCCACAUUGGGACUGAGACACGGCCCAAACUCCUACGGGAGGCAGCAGUGGGGAAUAUUCCGCAAUGGACGAAAGUCUGACGGAGCAACGCCGCGUGAGUGAUGAAGGUUUUCGGACUGUAAAACUCUGUUGUUUAGGACGAAAGUGCCUGUUGCAAAUAGUUGCAGGUAUUGACGGUACUGAACGAGGAAGCCACGGCUAACUACGUGCCAGCAGCCGCGGUAAUACGUAGGUGGCAAGCGUUGUCCGGAAUUAUUGGGCGUAAAGAGCAUGUAGGUGGAUACUUAAGUCUGUUGUGAAAAUGCGGGGCUCAACCCCGUAUUGCGAUGGAAACUGGGUGUCUUGAGUGCAGGAGAGGAAAGGGGAAUUCCCAGUGUAGCGGUGAAAUGCGUAGAUAUUGGGAGGAACACCAGUGGCGAAGGCGCCUUUCUGGACUGUGUCUGACACUGAGAUGCGAAAGCUAGGGGAGCGAACGGGAUUAGAUACCCCGGUAGUCCUAGCCGUAAACGAUGGGUACUAGGUGUAGGGGGUAUCGACCCCCCCUGUGCCGGAGUUAACGCAAUAAGUACCCCGCCUGGGGAGUACGGCCGCAAGGUUGAAACUCAAAGGAAUUGACGGGGGCCCGCACAAGCGGUGGAGCGUGUUCUUUAAUUCGAGGAUAAGCGAAGAACCUUACCCAGGCUUGACAUCCUUGGAAGGCUUCCGAAAGGAAACUGUGCCUUCGGGAACCAAGUGACAGGUGUUGCAUGGCCGUCGUCAGCUCGUGUCGUGAGAUGUUUGGUUAAGUCCAUCAACGAGCGCAACCCUUGUGAUUAGUUGGAUUUUUCUAAUCAGACUGCCCCGGUAACGGGGAGGAAGGAAGGGAUGAUGUCAGGUCAGUAUUACCCUUACGUCUGGGGCUAGAAACACGCUACAAUGGCCAGUACAAAGGGCAGCCAAGGCGCGAGCCGGAGCAAAUCCCAUCAAAGCUGGUCUCAGUUCGGAUAGCAGGCUGAAACUCGCCUGCUUGAAGCCGGAAUCGCUAGUAACGGUGAGUCAGCACAUCACCGUGAAUACGUUCCCGGGUCU
Molecule: ribosomal RNA, 1362 nt
Filed under: uncultured bacterium
Lineage: Bacteria
Description: bacterial SSU rRNA
Rfam family: Bacterial small subunit ribosomal RNA
Source: RNAcentral